UGGGAGUUUGCCUCAUGUUUCAUGUACAUGUGCAGUACUAAACCUACCACCCGAACUUUGUCUUCUUAGCAAACUUUCCAGCAUCCUGUAAAACAGAACUUUUCACCAGUCACAUUUGGAUGUAAAUGUGACAGUUUUAAAGCUCAUGAUUGUUCAACCACAUUGGGCCUUUAAUCCUCUGGUGUUUGGUGGGCACAUGCUAGAUUAGCGUCGUAUCAAGGUCAUUCCAGUCCAAAGGUGAAGGCACAACCCCGCCCACCGACACACCCACCCCAAAUUUGAUAAGCUGCUAAAAAUGGAUGGAAUUCUGUGAAGGGCUAACACGUGGCUGAAUGUAACAUUUCACUCACCUGCGCAGUCUACUGCAGACUAAGGGUGCUACACCAUGAUAAACUCUACCUUUGUUAAUAAACCUUGUGGAAGGCAAGCAGGGAAUUUAAGCCAACUGUAACAAAAUUAUUGUUUAAGCUGCUGUAGUGCUCUGAAGCAUUUAUCUUCCCAGUGUUAUUGAUUUUGUUGUUGUGAAAAUGAGCUUUUACAACAUUUGUGAAGAGCCAGGUAAUGGCAAAAGUCCGUCUGUAUCACUGAUUAUCUUAAGGGAUGUAAACAGAUAUGGUGACACCGUGCGGUUGAUGUUCUGUUACAGAUUAUGGUUAUGGAGAGAAUAGCUAGUUUUGCAACAUUUGCUUAUGUUGUCAUCAAUCCUGUGACCUUUACAAAGAAAGAAAACAUAUUUAGAGGACGAGAUCUUAUGUGUUAAUAGGAAAAAUAUCAAGUAGCUUUUCUUCCAAAUGGAUAUGUCACAUAUCACGUUUCGGGAUGAAACCGUUAACAUGCAGUUAAAUGAAUUGUGGCUCAAUUUUGAGAGCAGAGGGAGAAGGUAUGCAGCGGAGCGGCGAUAAGAGUGUUUGCAGCACAGACGAUUGGAGGAGACGUUCAUACAGUUGCUGUCUGCUGAGGGAAGGAGGACCAGAUAAGGACUAGAGCUCUUAGGGCUUCUAAGGCUCAAAUCAUCUGCCUCAGACUCGUUGGAUCUCAACAAUUUUGCCUCCAAGUGAAUUAGAUAUGUGCAACUCCCUGAAAUUCAAAGCAGCUGGAAAAAAGAGACUCUUUCCCUUUUCGGAUUUCUGUGACAAUUUGCCUUUAUGGAUUGAAUUUCUGCAGGCAGACAGAUGGAAGAAUAGGGAGCCAGGCUCUUCUCAGCAGGUGUGUGCUGGCGCCCCAGUCGCUACAGCUUCACACUGAACCUGGAUGUCCAAGACGAGGUGAAAGGAUUUUAAAAAGGGAGGCUUCAGAAGACAAAAGGGAAAGCAGAGACUCUGUUCCACUGUUGCAUGUCUAGAUGUGAAUAUUCUCAAAUGCAUACGGGCUAAAACAUUAAACAGUGUUUCUA
This is a long non-coding RNA of Oreochromis aureus, 1393 nucleotides long. The record is from Ensembl. Lineage: Eukaryota; Metazoa; Chordata; Actinopteri; Cichliformes; Cichlidae.